AUUGAACGCUGGCGGCAGGCCUAACACAUGCAAGUCGAGCGGAUGAAGGGAGCUUGCUCCUGGAUUCAGCGGCGGACGGGUGAGUAAUGCCUAUGAAUCUGCCUGGUAGUGGGGGAUAACGUCCGGAAACGGGCGCUAAUACCGCAUACGUCCUGAGGGAGAAAGUGGGGGAUCUUCGGACCUCACGCUAUCAGAUGAGCCUAGGUCGGAUUAGCUAGUUGGUGGGGUAAAGGCCUACCAAGGCGACGAUCCGUAACUGGUCUGAGAGGAUGAUCAGUCACACUGGAACUGAGACACGGUCCAGACUCCUACGGGAGGCAGCAGUGGGGAAUAUUGGACAAUGGGGGAAAGCCUGAUCCAGCCAUGCCGCGUGUGUGAAGAAGGUCUUCGGAUUGUAAAGCACUUUAAGUUGGGAGGAAGGGCAGUAAGUUAAUACCUUGCUGUUUUGACGUUACCAACAGAAUAAGCACCGGCUAACUUCGUG
RNAcentral lists this ribosomal RNA (484 nucleotides) under uncultured bacterium. RNAcentral describes it as "partial 16S ribosomal RNA". It matches the Rfam family "Bacterial small subunit ribosomal RNA", at positions 30 to 507 of the family's 1533-position model. The record is from RNAcentral.